Molecule: ribosomal RNA, 425 nt
Filed under: uncultured bacterium
Lineage: Bacteria
Description: bacterial SSU rRNA
Rfam family: Bacterial small subunit ribosomal RNA
Source: RNAcentral
UGGGGAAUAUUGGACAAUGGGGGCAACCCUGAUCCAGCCAUGCCGCGUGUGUGAAGAAGGCCUUCGGGUUGUAAAGCACUUUCGGACGGAACGAAAUCGCGCGUGUUAAUAGCACGCGUGGAUGACGGUACCGUAAGAAGAAGCACCGGCUAACUUCGUGCCAGCAGCCGCGGUAAUACGAAGGGUGCAAACGUUGCUCGGAAUCAUUGGGCGUAAAGCGCACGUAGGCGGCUUCGCAAGUCGGAUGUGAAAUCCCUGGGCUCAACCGAGGAAGUGCAUCCGAAACUGCGGAGCUUGAGUAUGGAAGAGGGUCGCGGAAUUCCCGGUGUAGAGGUGAAAUUCGUAGAUAUCGGGAGGAACACCAGUGGCGAAGGCGGCGACCUGGGCCAAUACUGACGCUGAGGUGCGAAAGCGUGGGGAGCAAA